This 362-nucleotide ribosomal RNA is filed under the name uncultured bacterium. Its description in RNAcentral is "partial 16S ribosomal RNA". It matches the Rfam family "Bacterial small subunit ribosomal RNA", at positions 338 to 697 of the family's 1533-position model. The record is from RNAcentral.
CCUACGGGUGACUGCAGUGGGGAAUAUUGGUCAAUGAACGCAAGUCUGAACCAGCCAUGCCGCGUGCAGGAAGACGGCUCUAUGAGUGGUAAACUGCGUUUGUACGAGGGUAAACGCGGAUUCGCGUAUCAGUCUGAAAGUAUCGUACGAAUAAGGAUCGGCUAAAUCCGUGACCGCCGCCGCGGUACUAAGGAGGAUUGAAGCGGUGUCCGGAUUUAUUGGGUUUAAGGGGUGCGUAGGGUGUCGGAUAAGUUAUGGGUGAAAUCCCGAGGCUUAACUCCGGGAUUGCUUUGGAUACUGUCAGGCUAGAGAGUAGUAGCGGUAGGCGGAAUGUAUGGUGAAGCGGUGAAAUGCUUAGAGAU